Molecule: microRNA, 19 nt
Filed under: Sarcophilus harrisii (Tasmanian devil)
Lineage: Eukaryota; Metazoa; Chordata; Mammalia; Dasyuromorphia; Dasyuridae
Description: sha-miR-135a
Gene: sha-miR-135a
Source: miRBase by way of RNAcentral
UAUGGCUUUUUAUUCCUAU